Molecule: ribosomal RNA, 253 nt
Filed under: uncultured bacterium
Lineage: Bacteria
Description: partial 16S ribosomal RNA
Rfam family: Bacterial small subunit ribosomal RNA
Source: RNAcentral
UACAGAGGUGGCAAGCGUUGUUCGGAAUUACUGGGCGUAAAGGGCGCGUAGGCGGUUCGUUAAGUCCUGUGUGAAAUCCCCCGGCUCAACUGGGGAACUGCACAGGAAACUAGCGGGCUUGAGUUCGGGAGAGGGAAGCGGAAUUCCGGGUGUAGCGGUGAAAUGCGUAGAUAUCGUGAGGAAGACCAGUGGCGAAGGCGGGUCUCUGGACAGUUCCUGACGCUGAGGCGCGAAGGCCAGGGGAGCAAACGGG